CACGGGGGGAGCAAGCGUUGUUCGGAAUUACUGGGCGUAAAGGGCGUGUAGGCGGUCAAGUAAGUGGAAUGUGAAACGCCUCGGCUUACCCGAGGACCUGCAUCCCAAACUGCUUGGCUUGAGUAUGGGAGAGGAUGAGGGAAUUCCUGGUGUAGCGGUGAAAUGCGUAGAUAUCAGGAGGAACACCGGUGGCGAAAGCGGCUCUCUGGGACGGUACUGACGCUGAGACGCGAAAGCGUGGGGAGCGAACAGG
RNAcentral lists this ribosomal RNA (253 nucleotides) under uncultured bacterium. Its description in RNAcentral is "partial 16S ribosomal RNA". It matches the Rfam family "Bacterial small subunit ribosomal RNA", at positions 524 to 776 of the family's 1533-position model. The record is from RNAcentral.